CACGUAGGGUGCGAGCGUUGUCCGGAAUUAUUGGGCGUAAAGAGCUCGUAGGCGGUGUGUCGCGUCGGCCGUGAAAACCUGCAGCUUAACUGUGGGCUUGCGGUCGAUACGGGCAUCACUGGAGUUCGGCAGGGGAGACUGGAAUUCCUGGUGUAGCGGUUAAAUGCGCAGAUAUCAGGAGGAACACCGGUGGCGAAGGCGGGUCUCUGGGCCGAUACUGACGCUGAGGAGCGAAAGCGUGGGGAGCGAACAGG
This 254-nucleotide ribosomal RNA is filed under the name uncultured bacterium. RNAcentral describes it as "partial 16S ribosomal RNA". It matches the Rfam family "Bacterial small subunit ribosomal RNA", at positions 524 to 776 of the family's 1533-position model. The record is from RNAcentral.